GAUGAACGCUGGCGGCGUGCCUAAUACAUGCAAGUCGAGCGAACAGACGAGGAGCUUGCUCCUCUGACGUUAGCGGCGGACGGGUGAGUAACACGUGGAUAACCUACCUAUAAGACUGGGAUAACUUCGGGAAACCGGAGCUAAUACCGGAUAAUAUAUUGAACCGCAUGGUUCAAUAGUAAAAGACGGUUUUUCUGGCACUUAUAGAUGGAUCCGCGCCGCAUUAGCUAGUUGGUAAGGUAACGGCUUACCAAGGCAACGAUGCGUAGCCGACCUGAGAGGGUGGUCGGCCACACUGGAGCUGAGACACGGUCCAGGCUCCUACGGGAGGCAGCAGUAGGGAAUCUUCCGCAAUGGGCGAAAGCUUUACGGAGCAACGCCGCGUGAGUGAUGAAGGUCUUCGGAUCGUAAAACUCUGUUAUUAGGGAAGAACAAAUGUGUAAGUAACUAUGCACGUCUUGACGGUACCUAAUCAGAAAGCCACGGCUAACUACGUG
RNAcentral lists this ribosomal RNA (497 nucleotides) under uncultured bacterium. Its description in RNAcentral is "partial 16S ribosomal RNA". It matches the Rfam family "Bacterial small subunit ribosomal RNA", at positions 28 to 507 of the family's 1533-position model. The record is from RNAcentral.